GACGAACGCUGGCGGCGUGCUUAACACAUGCAAGUCGAACGGUGAAGCGCCUUCCUUUUUGGUGGGUGUGGAUGAGUGGCGAACGGGUGAGUAACACGUGAGUAACCUGCCCCCUUCUUCUGGAUAACCGCAUGAAAGUGUGGCUAAUACGGGAUAUUCUGGGUCUGUCGCAUGAUGGGUCUGGGAAAGAUAUUGUUUCGGUGGGGGAUGGGCUCGCGGCCUAUCAGCUUGUUGGUGGGGUGAUGGCCUACCAAGGCGGUGACGGGUAGCCGGCCUGAGAGGGUGGACGGGCACAAUGGGAAGGAGGCACGGGCCAGACUCCUACGGGAGGGAGCAGUGGGGAAUAUGGGACAAUGGGGGGAAGGCUGAUGCAGCGAAGGCGCGUGAGGGAUGGAGGCCUUCGGGUUGUGAACCUCUUUCGCCAGUGAAGCAGGCCUGCCUCGUUUGUGGGUGGGUUGACGGUAGCUGGAGAAGAAGCGCCGGCUAACUACGUG
RNAcentral lists this ribosomal RNA (494 nucleotides) under uncultured bacterium. Its description in RNAcentral is "partial 16S ribosomal RNA". It matches the Rfam family "Bacterial small subunit ribosomal RNA", at positions 28 to 507 of the family's 1533-position model. The record is from RNAcentral.